Molecule: non-coding RNA, 106 nt
Organism: Acanthosepion pharaonis
Lineage: Eukaryota; Metazoa; Mollusca; Cephalopoda; Sepiida; Sepiidae
Source: the annotation of a GenBank genome assembly
AAUAUCACGUUGGAACACGAGUUCCCGUAUGAUUACCGAUGUUAAGCAACGUCGAGUCUGGUCAGUACCAAGAUGGGUUACCGCUUGGCAAUACCAGUCGCUGUAA